This 30-nucleotide non-coding RNA is filed under the name Mus musculus (house mouse). The record is from RNAcentral. Lineage: Eukaryota; Metazoa; Chordata; Mammalia; Rodentia; Muridae.
UAAAUCCAGCAUUAGUAGCACAUCCUAGCC